RNAcentral lists this ribosomal RNA (581 nucleotides) under uncultured Moraxella sp. RNAcentral describes it as "bacterial SSU rRNA". It matches the Rfam family "Bacterial small subunit ribosomal RNA", at positions 209 to 778 of the family's 1533-position model. The record is from RNAcentral. Lineage: Bacteria; Pseudomonadati; Pseudomonadota; Gammaproteobacteria; Moraxellales; Moraxellaceae.
CUUUUAGCUCUCGCUAUUAGAUGAGCCUAAGUCGGAUUAGCUGGUUGGUGGGGUAAAGGCCUACCAAGGCGACGAUCUGUAGCUGGUCUGAGAGGAUGAUCAGCCACACUGGGACUGAGACACGGCCCAGACUCCUACGGGAGGCAGCAGUGGGGAAUAUUGGACAAUGGGCGAAAGCCUGAUCCAGCCAUGCCGCGUGUGUGAAGAAGGCCUUUUGGUUGUAAAGCACUUUAAGUGGGGAGGAAAAGCUUAUGGUUAAUACCCAUAAGCCCUGACGUUACCCACAGAAUAAGCACCGGCUAACUCUGUGCCAGCAGCCGCGGUAAUACAGAGGGUGCAAGCGUUAAUCGGAAUUACUGGGCGUAAAGCGCGCGUAGGUGGUUAUUUAAGUCAGAUGUGAAAGCCCCGGGCUUAACCUGGGAACUGCAUCUGAUACUGGAUAACUAGAGUAGGUGAGAGGGGAGUAGAAUUCCAGGUGUAGCGGUGAAAUGCGUAGAGAUCUGGAGGAAUACCGAUGGCGAAGGCAGCUCCCUGGCAUCAUACUGACACUGAGGUGCGAAAGCGUGGGUAGCAAACAGGAU